Molecule: long non-coding RNA, 879 nt
Filed under: Dromaius novaehollandiae (emu)
Lineage: Eukaryota; Metazoa; Chordata; Aves; Casuariiformes; Dromaiidae
Description: lncRNA (ENSDNVG00000010137.1)
Source: RNAcentral
UAUGUUGGAUAUGGUCACAAUAAAACUAGCUAGGUAGAAAGCUCAGAGUAAUUAAUUGGCCCUAAGGCAAGCUGGUUGUAUUUGUAGGCAAACCUAGAAUUUUAUUUUUCUCAAGAGAAAGUUUUCUUUCUACUGUUAUGUUUUGGUUUUUGUUUUUGUUUGAUCAUUUAUCCAGCCUACUCUGUGCCAACUACCUCUGGUUUAUGACUCCCCUGUGUUAAUUUCUUGUCUGUGAAUUGCCGAUUCUUUGAAGUAAAACAUUGGGCUAGAUCUGUUUCGGAGUGAAUGAGAAUGCAGGACCGCUGACAAAAGAAAUCCAUCAUAAGAAUCACUGCAGAAAAUGUCUACAACUUCUCCUCCUCUGGAUGUGAGUGAACUACAACAUUCAGCUUUACAAAUAUGCACCCCCAUCUCAACUGGGUACCUCUGUCCAAAUAUGAGAUAAUACACUGAGCGACAGUUUUCCUCAUGUACUGUCUGAACACAUAAGUGGCAUCGAAGAUCAGAUUGGCUGAAAUCCUCUAUGAAAUGAAGUCUUCUCUCAUGUUUGGAUCGCAUAUAUGUUUAGUGACCCAGCGGCUGCUGUAAGGGCCCGACCGAACCUAGGACAGACCUUCAAAGAUACAGCUAUUCAUUCCAAAAAAUCCAGUAGGCUACUGUGAAAGUUUUAUUUGGUUUAUUUCAAUAGAUCCAGUACCCCUUACAAUGGUGUAUGGUGAUUAUCAAUCGAUUAAGGUACCAGUGGAUUCCUAGGCUUGGUGCUUACCAGGAGCAAAAACUUAAAGAACAAAUUUGCUUUCCCAAGUUUCUGCAUUCUGUGUACAAGGACAGCCUUAAUUUUAGACUGAGCCUUUACUGUUGCUGGCCAUACUAGGCAAA